ACGCGACCCCAGGUCAGGCGGGAUCACCCGCUGAGUUUAAGC
Molecule: ribosomal RNA, 42 nt
Filed under: Muraltia spinosa
Lineage: Eukaryota; Viridiplantae; Streptophyta; Magnoliopsida; Fabales; Polygalaceae
Description: partial 26S ribosomal RNA
Source: RNAcentral